Molecule: ribosomal RNA, 71 nt
Filed under: Ferrimonas aestuarii
Lineage: Bacteria; Pseudomonadati; Pseudomonadota; Gammaproteobacteria; Alteromonadales; Ferrimonadaceae
Description: Ferrimonas sp. IMCC35002 partial 16S ribosomal RNA
Rfam family: Bacterial small subunit ribosomal RNA (bases 1-63)
Source: RNAcentral
AUGACUGGGGUGAAGUCGUAACAAGGUAGCCCUAGGGGAACCUGGGGCUGGAUCACCUCCUUACGAAAUAG